UACGGAGGAUCCAAGCGUUAUCCGGAAUCAUUGGGUUUAACGGGUCCGUAGGCGGUUUGAUAAGUCCGUGGUGAAAGCCCAUCGCUCAACGAUGGAACGGCCAUUGAUACUGUCAGACUUGAAUUGUUGGGAAGUAACUAGAAUAUGUAGUGUAGCGGUGAAAUGCUUAGAUAUUACAUGGAAUACCAAUUGCGAAGGCAGGUUACUAGCAACACAUUGACGCUGAUGGACGAAAGCGUGGGGAGCGAACAGG
RNAcentral lists this ribosomal RNA (253 nucleotides) under uncultured bacterium. RNAcentral's name for it is "partial 16S ribosomal RNA". It matches the Rfam family "Bacterial small subunit ribosomal RNA", at positions 524 to 776 of the family's 1533-position model. The record is from RNAcentral.